GCGCGGCGCAGUUUCAGAUGUCCCAAGGAGCAGGAGGAUCUCUUUAACACACACACUCUCAGGCCAGGGGCGUGAUUUUGCCAGCUAAAGGCCGUUUACACUCGGAGUUCUGCGGACUCGUCAGAGGUUGUAAAAAUGCCGGAGCCACGAAAGCCAGCAAAGAGCUGUUGCUCGCCUUGCUGCUGCUGCUGCUGCUGCUGCCGUCCCUGCCCGUGCUGCAGCUGCUACUCCUGCUGCUGCUGCUGCUGCUUGUUGCUGAUUGUUGCCGUUGCGGGUUGCUGUUUGCUGUUUGCUGCGGGCUGGAUUGCUGGAUUGCUGAUUGCCGGUCGGCGAUAUCCCGAGGAUGAAGAUCAAACUUGCCCCAAGGAAUUCAACAACCCUAAGAAGUAGUCUAAUGAUUUCAAUAUCCCCUCUCCCCCUCUGACCUUUCUCUCUUACCUUAUGUUGGGGGAUUGGAAGGGUGGUAGGAAAAAGAACCCAAUAAAGUAGCCAAAAGU
This 497-nucleotide long non-coding RNA is filed under the name Rattus norvegicus (Norway rat). RNAcentral's name for it is "long non-coding RNA NONRATT030459". The record is from RNAcentral. Lineage: Eukaryota; Metazoa; Chordata; Mammalia; Rodentia; Muridae.